GGGCAGGUACCAAAGUGGCCAAAUGGACCAGACUGUAAAUCUGGCGGCUAUGCCUUCGAAGGUUCGAAUCCUUCCCUGCCCACCA
Molecule: transfer RNA, 85 nt
Filed under: Omnitrophica WOR_2 bacterium SM23_29
Lineage: Bacteria; Pseudomonadati; Candidatus Omnitrophota
Description: tRNA-Tyr
Rfam family: tRNA
About the family: Transfer RNA (tRNA) molecules are approximately 80 nucleotides in length. Their secondary structure includes four short double-helical elements and three loops (D, anti-codon, and T loops).
Source: RNAcentral